GGAUUAUGUCACCUUUCCUCAAUCUUCUAUUUUCUAUUAGAUCCUGCAUUGAAGUACAUAUUUAAGCACUCGAAUCAGAGUCCAAUACCAAACUAGAAGUAAAAGAAAUCAUAAGGUUAGAUUCAAUUACGAGCAUACCUUCUGCAUAUUUGUCAUCUUUUUUGAUCUUUAAGCUAUCCAGAUAAAGUGGACAGUUCCUCCUCCAGUGGCCUUUAGCACCACAAUGAAAACACUUUCUUUUAUUUCAGCCUUCUUUGGAAUGUUCUUCUUUGGCUUGCUCUCUUUCUUCUGUUUCUUUGCAGAUUUAGUCUUCUUCUUUCAACUAGACUUUCUCUUGAAAGAAAUCUGCUCCAC
RNAcentral lists this long non-coding RNA (354 nucleotides) under Elaeis guineensis (African oil palm). RNAcentral describes it as "long non-coding RNA (EGUI_LNC027938)". Lineage: Eukaryota; Viridiplantae; Streptophyta; Magnoliopsida; Arecales; Arecaceae. The record is from RNAcentral.